Molecule: long non-coding RNA, 1174 nt
Organism: Pseudophryne corroboree (corroboree frog)
Lineage: Eukaryota; Metazoa; Chordata; Amphibia; Anura; Myobatrachidae
Exons: 2
Source: RefSeq, a predicted model, not a curated record
CUGGUGAAGACAAAGCUUCGGCUGGACUAGAAUAUGAAGUCAAAGAAACCAGAAGAGUUGACACAAACAGAAUAACUGAAUGAUUCGGAGAUACAAAAUGUUCUACAACACAAGAAAACACUGUGGCACCUAUUGGCUUUGUAGCUUUCUAUCGGUAAGUGUUGAAGUGGCAUUGUAGCAGUUGAUGGGAGCAAACAUGUCGGAGACUAUGAGAGGAAGGAGGACCUAUCCCAGGAAGCCUGGACCUACAGUGCAGCCAUCCAUAAAGUAGAAAGCACUACUAGACAGGCCUGAACGCUGUAGUGUUUCCUACUUUAUGGAUGAGUGUACUGGACACUACAAGACAUCAUCUGGACAAAACGGGAACACACAAUGGAAAGCAUUUACUGCUAACAGCACCUGCUUAUUUCAUUAAAGUUAUAAUUAAUGUAUAAUGCUGUAUUCAGUAGAUAAAAACACUGAGCAGCAGGAGAAUGUCUUUUCUAAACCAACAAUCAGCCAUAUUUUAUUAUUUUUAUCACAAGUUGUUUACGUGUAGCAAAAUAAAAUAAAUAGCGAUGCAUUGAAAGGAUAAAUUGUAUAUUUGAUCAUGGGGAGAAUUAUCAAUCCUUUCCAAAGAGGACAAGUGGAGAAAACCAAUCAGAUUCUAGCUAACAUUUAUAUACUAAGUGUUAUAAAAUGAAAGUUAGAAUCUGAUUGGUUGCUAUGUGCAACUGUUCCUUUUUACAAGGUUUGAUAAGCCUCUUCCCCUAUAAUCUGAGUACAAGCUGUUCUGCUCUUGCAUGUGGAAUACAGAAAGGUAUCACGUAUGAGUUUAGGAUUAUUUGCUUACAUUUAUAUUUUGCUACAAAAUGCUUGUUACAAUGCACCUGAUAACCCAACGAGGGAUGCUACACCUGGACUGGAUGUACGGCAGCACAUGCAGUGCAGUUACCCAUAAAGUAGAAAGCACUACUAGACAGGACUGAACGCUGUAGUGUUUCCUACUUUAUGGAUGAGUGUACUGGACACUACAGGACAUCAUCUGGAGUCCGAAGACAGAAGACUCUUCUUUGUUUACUGUAUAUCAUUUGCAGAAAUUUUGUCUCAACACUGUAAUCAUAGCUGUCUAAAUAAAUGGCAUUGUGUAGAUGACAUCAUAUGUAUCCAUAAAAUAAAUCUAAUUAUGAAGUUA